Molecule: non-coding RNA, 73 nt
Organism: Stegodyphus mimosarum
Lineage: Eukaryota; Metazoa; Arthropoda; Arachnida; Araneae; Eresidae
Source: Rfam
GCUUUCAUGGUGUAGUGGUCAGCACGCUCCGUGCGUAUUCGAGAGGUCUGUGGUUCGAAUCCCGGUGAGGGCA